GCGAGAGUAGCUCAGUGGUAGAGCCCCACCUUGCCAAGGUGGUUGUCGAGGGUUCAAAUCCCUUCUCUCGCUCCA
Molecule: transfer RNA, 75 nt
Filed under: Chitinispirillum alkaliphilum
Lineage: Bacteria; Pseudomonadati; Fibrobacterota; Chitinispirillia; Chitinispirillales; Chitinispirillaceae
Description: tRNA-Gly
Rfam family: tRNA
About the family: Transfer RNA (tRNA) molecules are approximately 80 nucleotides in length. Their secondary structure includes four short double-helical elements and three loops (D, anti-codon, and T loops).
Source: RNAcentral